Molecule: transfer RNA, 85 nt
Filed under: Felis catus (domestic cat)
Lineage: Eukaryota; Metazoa; Chordata; Mammalia; Carnivora; Felidae
Also listed under: 1 other name
Rfam family: tRNA
About the family: Transfer RNA (tRNA) molecules are approximately 80 nucleotides in length. Their secondary structure includes four short double-helical elements and three loops (D, anti-codon, and T loops).
Source: Rfam by way of RNAcentral
GCCUGGGUGGCUCAGUCGGUUGAGUGUCUGACUUUGGCUCAGGUCAUGAUCUCGCAGUCUGUGAGUUCGAGCCCCACGUCGGGCU